GGCGCGAUGUCAGAGUGGUUAUGUCACGGACUGCAACUCCGUUUACUCCGGUUCGAUUCCGGAUCGCGCCUCCA
Molecule: transfer RNA, 74 nt
Filed under: Pseudoteredinibacter isoporae
Lineage: Bacteria; Pseudomonadati; Pseudomonadota; Gammaproteobacteria; Cellvibrionales; Cellvibrionaceae
Also listed under: 1 other name
Description: tRNA-Cys
Rfam family: tRNA
About the family: Transfer RNA (tRNA) molecules are approximately 80 nucleotides in length. Their secondary structure includes four short double-helical elements and three loops (D, anti-codon, and T loops).
Source: RNAcentral